Armigeres subalbatus is the source of this 1017-nucleotide long non-coding RNA. RefSeq lists it as uncharacterized. The transcript has 4 exons. NCBI's taxonomy places the organism in Eukaryota, Metazoa, Arthropoda, Insecta, Diptera, Culicidae. The record is from RefSeq and is a predicted model, not a curated record.
CCGCAGUCAAAAGUUUUUCCCGCACCCGGUCUUCUCAGAAUGAUAUUCAUCCGUCGCGAGUGGCAAUCGUCCGAAAACAGUUAAAAACGUCGCAUCCCGAACAGCUUAAGUGCUUCUGAAGAACGGAUACUAUAUAUUUAUUUACAUCAUCAGGCCACUGGCUGACAAAGAACCGUUGAAGACAAGGCGGUUCACCCAAAGGGGCCUUUACUAAUCGGAUAGGAGCAAUGGACAUUCAUAUGACGACACUGUGGAAGCCGAGAAACAGAUCCAAAAUGCCGACUAAAUCGUUUAACCAGAUGGUUUAUCGACGAAGGAGCAGACUAUAUGUGGCCAAUUAUCAAUUAUCAAGGUGCAAAUUGGAAACGUUCCAACCAUGGCGCACCGCAACCAAGUACGAAGAUGUAAGUCAGAAGACAACUGUAGACGGGACGUGGUAGUCGUUUUGAGACGAUGCGAUGAGGAUAGAUCAGAGAAUAAUUUCUCACGAAAUGAUGAAGGAGGGGCAACAGGCAAUGAAACGCCGGCGAACAUCGUUCCUCGAGCAGGCGUUAAACGAAAGAGUGACGAAUUGGCAGGUUUUACACCGAGGAGAUCGAAGCGAAUUAAGAAAUCUAAGAAAGAGGAUAUAUAUGUUUAUAAUUAAUCAGGUCUAUUGGCUUUGAUUUGUCUGAGUUUAUUGAUUUUCCUUAAAUUGAAUAUAAAGUUCAUUCGAAUUGAAUUUAAACUUCUGAAUUUUGAACUCUACUUAGUAUUAGUCGUCAGUGAAUGCUGGAAAUCGAAAAAACCCAAAGGGGUAAGGAGUUGUAGUAUAUAUCCAACUUGGACUUUAUUUUGUUUAGAGUGCACGUCAAAUGACAGCUGCCUACAGUCCAAUACACUUAAGCAUAAUUCAUAUUGCAUUCACACACACACAUGAUAUUGUAAUAUUGUAUUCGUUUAAAAGGUCUGAACAAUAUACUACUCGUUCUCAGUUUGGUAUAACUUAUCUCAAGAGUACUAUCUUUUAAACCCAUC